AAAUCUAUAAUAUGGCUCCGGUGUAGAAGUAAACACGAUUUUACUAUUAAAGAGGAAAUAGUUUACAUCAAAGAUGAACAUGAAGAGGAUGAGGGACAGGAAACAGUUUUAUUGAUGAUAAUAUAGCGUUUCAUAUAUCUCUAGUACUAUAAUUGUCCAGAGAGCUCUGCGGAUUAGUUCAAUUUACGAUUUUCGCUGGAGAUAUAUUUUAACCGACAACAGCUCAGUCAAUAAUGAAACUAAGUACUAAUCAAAAAGCAAUCGUGACUGGAUUUGUGCAACUUUGUGGCGUUACUGUAGCUUCAGUGCUGAUUGAGAGAUGUGGUCGGAAGCCGCUGAUCAUCGUCCGUCCUUCAUUUCCGGUUUGAGCAUGUGUGUGCUGGCCACUUGGUUUCUCCUAUAACACUUCAAUCCUCCAGGAUAUAUUUCCGUCAUUUCUCUCUGCUUUUGUAUUUUUUGCGAUAGUUCUGGCACUUUAUGUCUAAUAUUAACAGGCGAUA
Danaus plexippus (monarch butterfly) is the source of this 500-nucleotide long non-coding RNA. RefSeq lists it as uncharacterized. The record is from RefSeq and is a predicted model, not a curated record. NCBI's taxonomy places the organism in Eukaryota, Metazoa, Arthropoda, Insecta, Lepidoptera, Nymphalidae. The transcript has 3 exons.